UUGCAUAUCCCAAAAGCGGAGGAAAAGAAACCAACCGGGAUUGCCUUAGUAACGGCGAGUGAAGCGGCAAAAGCUCAAAUUUGAAAUCUGGCGUCUUCGACGUCCGAGUUGUAAUUUGAAGAAGGCGACUUUGUAGCUGGUCCUUGUCUAUGUUCCUUGGAACAGGACGUCAUAGAGGGUGAGAAUCCCGUGUGGCGAGGAUCCCAGUUAUUUGUAAAGUGCUUUCGACGAGUCGAGUUGUUUGGGAAUGCAGCUCUAAGUGGGUGGUAAAUUCCAUCUAAAGCUAAAUAUUGGCGAGAGACCGAUAGCGAACAAGUACAGUGAUGGAAAGAUGAAAAGAACUUUGAAAAGAGAGUGAAAAAGUACGUGAAAUUGUUGAAAGGGAAGGGCAUUUGAUCAGACAUGGCGUUUGCUUCGGCUUUCGCUGGGCCAGCAUCAGUUUUAGCGGUUGGAUAAAUCCUCGGGAAUGUGGCUCUGCUUCGGUAGAGUGUUAUAGCCCGUGGGAAUACAGCCAGCUGGGACUGAGGAUUGCGACUUUUGUCAAGGAUGCUGGCGUAAUGGUUAAAUGCCGCCCGUCUUGAACCCACGGACC
RNAcentral lists this ribosomal RNA (592 nucleotides) under Kluyveromyces marxianus. RNAcentral describes it as "partial large subunit ribosomal RNA". It matches the Rfam family "Eukaryotic large subunit ribosomal RNA", at positions 36 to 667 of the family's 3401-position model. Lineage: Eukaryota; Fungi; Ascomycota; Saccharomycetes; Saccharomycetales; Saccharomycetaceae. The record is from RNAcentral.